RNAcentral lists this ribosomal RNA (305 nucleotides) under uncultured bacterium. RNAcentral describes it as "bacterial SSU rRNA". It matches the Rfam family "Bacterial small subunit ribosomal RNA", at positions 337 to 634 of the family's 1533-position model. The record is from RNAcentral.
ACCUACGGGGGGCAGCAGUGGGGAAUAUUGCGCAAUGGGCGAAAGCCUGACGCAGCGACGCCGCGUGAGGGAUGAAGGUCUUCGGAUCGUAAACCUCUGUCAGCAGGGAAGGACGGUCACUGUGCUAAUCAGCAGUGAAUUGACGGUACCUGCAAAGGAAGCACCGGCUAACUCCGUGCCAGCAGCCGCGGUAAUACGGAGGGUGCGAGCGUUAAUCGGAAUUACUGGGCGUAAAGCGCUCGUAGGCGGUAUGUCAAGUCAAGGGUGAAAUGCCCGCGCUCCACGUGGGAACUGCCUUUGAAACU